This 464-nucleotide ribosomal RNA is filed under the name uncultured bacterium. RNAcentral describes it as "partial 16S ribosomal RNA". It matches the Rfam family "Bacterial small subunit ribosomal RNA", at positions 28 to 507 of the family's 1533-position model. The record is from RNAcentral.
GACGAACGCUGGCGGCGUGCUUAACACAUGCAAGUCGAACGGAAAGGCCCCUUUGGGGGUACUCGAGUGGCGAACGGGUGAGUAACACGUGAGUAACCUGCCCUUGACUUCGGGAUAACUUCAGGAAACUGGGGCUAAUACCGGAUAGGAAUCCUUGCUGCAUGGUGGGGGUUGGAAAGCUUCGGCGGUUUUGGAUGGACUCGCGGCUUAUCAGCUUGUUGGUGGGGUAGUGCUUACCAAGGCUUUGACGGGUAGCCGGCCUGAGAGGGCGACCGGCCACAUUGGGACUGAGAUACGGCCCAGACUCCUACGGGAGGCAGCAGUGGGGAAUAUUGCACAAUGGGCGGAAGCCUGAUGCAGCAACGCCGCGUGCGGGAUGACGGCCUUCGGGUUGUAAACCGCUUUCAGCAGGGGCGAAGCUUGUGGUGACGGUACCUGCAGAAGAAGCACCGGCUAACUACGUG